Molecule: transfer RNA, 72 nt
Filed under: Camelus bactrianus (Bactrian camel)
Lineage: Eukaryota; Metazoa; Chordata; Mammalia; Artiodactyla; Camelidae
Also listed under: 2 other names
Rfam family: tRNA
About the family: Transfer RNA (tRNA) molecules are approximately 80 nucleotides in length. Their secondary structure includes four short double-helical elements and three loops (D, anti-codon, and T loops).
Source: Rfam by way of RNAcentral
GAGGGUAUAGCUCAGUGGUAGAGUGCAUGCUUAGCAUGCCCAAGGUCCUGGAUUCAAUCCCCAGUACUUCCA